AACAAUGUAAAAAAAAAAAAGAAAAAGAAAUAAUAAUAAUGAUAAUAAUAAUAAUAAUAAUAAUAAUAAUAAUAACAAUAAUAAUAAUCUUUUCUACUAUAAGCACAAGGCCUGAAAUUUUUGGGGAAAGGACGCGACAAUUACAUCGACCCCAGAGCUCUAGGUACUUUUGUCAACCCAGGAAGGAUGAAAAGCAACACUGACCUCAGUGGGAUUUGAACUCAGAACAUAAAAGAUGGACAAACUGUAGCUAAGCAUUAUUUUUCUAGUGUGCUAUUUUAUGUUUUUUUUAAUGAUGUUUUCAUAUCAUUUUAAUGUUUUCAUAUUUUGUUUCAUAAAACUUAUUUUUCCAUAAUUGUUUCCGUAUUAUUAUUAUUAUUAUUAUUAUUAUUAUUAUUAUUAUUAUUAUUAUUAUUAUUAUUGCUAUUACUUUAAAAUUUCUUGAUCCUUUCUCACUUUUUAUUCGUUUAUAAGUUUUCGCUUUCGUAAAUUUCUGAAUGAUUUAGCAUAAACAACAAUAACGACAACAACAAGAAAUAACAUGUGGUGGGGGUUUCUGAACAAAGAAGGAACGGGUUCAAUUUUGGAAGCUGUUCAGAAAUUUCUCGGUCAUUUUGUCUCAUUCUGUCGACUUUGUGCAACGGAAUACAACCAUACAGCAACAACAACAACAUGAAGAUCUGUGUCGUUUUUUUUUUAAUAAACAGACCCAAAUAGGAUUGUGCCAUUUGUGGCCUUAAUAUAAUAGGUUUAUAUAAACAUAGGGUGUGUAUGUGUGUGUGGUUGUGUGAGUGUGUGUCUGCAUAUAAAAAUGACAAUGAAAUAUACAAUUUCCUUCACGGCUAUAUAAUAGGAGUUAUAAGUUUACUUACACACACACACAUAUAUAUAUAUAUAUAUAUAUGUAUACAUAUAUUGUAAUAAUAAUAAUAAUAAAAUAUGGUACAGGUGGAUGACAAAGGAACAUAUGGAAAACAGAGAAACAUGCAAUGGACUCUCUCACCCCUCAUCAGUUAUUGACUAAAUUUCAUCACAAUUUCAACACCUUAUAUAUAUAUAUAUGUAUACACAGACAGUCAAAGGCAUACAUACAUGCAUACAUGCACAUAUAUAAAUAUACUUAUAUACACACAUACUUAAAUUUAAAAAGACAAGAGUAAUGUACUCAAUACCAAAGUAAGAGUAUAAGUAUUUAUGAUAGAACUGCAAUUACUCUCUGUUUCUAUUCUGAGUUUUGUGAUUAUUUGCUGAUCAUGUAACGACUCUUGCAACCCCUUUUAUCAAUUCCAGGCAAAGCUGACCAUGGCAGGAUUUGAACUCAGAACAUAACAGGCCAAAACUAAACUCUAGAAAGUAUUGAAAGUAUUUAGUCCACUGUCCUACCAAUUUUUUCAAAGACAACUAAGUCAAUCAAGUAAUUGGUUGACAGUUUAUAAACAGUUGAUGUUUAAUGGCUAUAAUUUCCUGGCUGUAAAUAUUGCUUACUAUUGUAAACAGUGGCAGCAUAGUAAAUUUGAUGGAUGUUUACUUUAGCAGUCAGUAAUGUGUCUUAUUUGUUGUCAAUUUAACCUGCAGCUUACAUUCCCAUUUAGCAUGUAGUCUACCUGGCCAUCAAACACACAGUCUAAACCUAACCCUAAUCUUUAACUCUUAAUCCUAACCCAGAUGAGAAAUUUCACAGUGUAGACUACAGAUACUGCAGUAGACUGCACACCCAAGUAACACCACUUAUUUUUUCUAUGCUGCAGGAGGCUACAUAGUAAGGCUAUUCUACUUCAUUGAACACUGGCUGUUACAGAACCUACUAUCAACAACACAUGAGAGUUUAAAGUAUUUAACUCUUUAGCAUUUAUACCAGCCAUAUCUAGCCCAAAUAUUCUGUUUUAUGCUCCAAUCAGCCAGGUCCCAUCUCUCACACCUGCCCUACAAUGUCAUUCUAAAAAUAUACAAUCAUAUCAUCAAAAUCUCGAAGCUACCAGAUAAAGACUCCCUUCAGUCAUGAAUGCUCAUGGGAUUGAUCCUAAAAAGUUACCUUCUGAGACACAAGUCUGGGCAAGGUUGUUUAUGGAAGACAGCAGUUGCCCAUUCAUACCAACCUCCCCUCUCCAUGUCAGUGAUGUUGUCCAAGGGAAAGGCAAAGACCAAUACAGCUUGGCACCAGUGAUGUCGCAACUUAUUUCUACAACUGAGUGAAUGUGGAAUAAUGUGCCUUGCUCAAGAACCCAACACACAGCCAGCCCAGUCCAGGAACCAAACUCACUACCUUAUGAUUGUGAGCCCUUAUCACUAAAUACUAAGCUAUGCAUCUACAAGAUAAUACAUGAUUAACUGAAAACAAUGUGAAUAAAUAAGCAAUACCUUUGACAGAGUAAUCUGAAUGCUAAAGGGUUAAUAUCGGCACAGUCGAAAAGGGUUGGUUAGCAGAAAUAAAGAUUAGGGCACUCUACAGUGUAUCUGCCUCUUUUAGCUUUUUAUACAGUAGCUAAACCAUCCACUGCUUCUGAACAAUGUCUACCAUGGGGUAAGACGCUAACGAGGCUCUGAUUAGUUAAUGGUAAACAGUUGGAGUCUAUAAGCUUGAUAACAAAUCCACAACCCACAGAGGUUUUUGGAUGCAAGUAAUUUUGUUUAUAAAAUCAAAGGUACGAUAGCCAGUGAGAACAAUUAAAUAGGAGAACAGCUAGAAUCUGUGGAAAAUGGUAAGGAGUCGGGGAAGAUAGGAAAGUGGAUAGAAUAUGUCUGGGUGUUUAGGAGACGUGUUUCUUAAUAUUUCUCAACUUGUCCUAUGAUGCUAUCUCAUUGUCAAGAUAUGAUGCAAAACUGAGUAGCAACAGAGUGAAUCAGUAACUGUCUUCUGAUGACUAUAAAUUUCAUGUCAUGUAUUGAGUACUUUUUUUUACAACCAAAAUCUAUGUGUUUGAGUGUAUAUAUAAAUAUAUACACAACACAAACAUAGAUAGAUAGAUAGAUAGAUAGAUAGACAGACAGAUAGAUAGACCGAUAGAUAGAUAGACAGACAGAUAUUUAGACAAACAGAUGGGCAUAGAAGCAGAUAGGAAGUUAAGUAAGUAGAUAGAUAUAAAAGAAAAUAGGCAAUGGCCUUUGAGAAAAACCAAACCAAUGUUACUUCUGGAUUAAGGAGUAUACCAGAGCCAUGUGUACAUACACCCACACCCACACACACACACACACACACACAUGCAUUCAUUCAUUGACUGUUAUUACCUACUGGGAGUUUACAUCAUCCAUGGAUUCAUCACAGGAGUGAUUUUGGUAUCACCUGGUAAUUCAAUUAAACAGCCAACGGCUCGUACGUCUUUGACAUACAUAAAUUAUGUACACACAAACGCAUAUAUACAGACAUAUGCAUACAUACAUACGCUUUUGAAGGGAGUAUUUAUUUUGUCAGUCUUAUUAGAAACAAAGGGCAAAGUUGUCUUUGGUGUCAAAGAACAAUAACUGAGUCAGACACAUGCACAUAUGGCUCAGGUAUAUAUAUAUAUAUAUAUAUAUAUAUAUAUAUAUAUAUAUAUAUAUACACACAGCACUUGCAAUGCCUGCAGGAAAUAUAAAAAGUCAGCAUUUCAGCCUGUAUGCUGUCUUGAGUCCUUACUAAUCGUAAUGAAAGGAAGACAUGAGAUGGAAGGAUAAGGAAUGUAAUACAAGCAAAUACUAUAUCUCAGAGUAUGGCAAGAUGACAAUGUUAAUAAUAAUAAUUUCUACUAAAGGCACAAGGCCUGAAAUUUGGGGUGAGGGGACUAGCUGCUUACCUAUUUCUUUACUACCCACAAGGGGAUAAACACAGGGGACAAACAAGGACAGACAAAUGGAUUAAGUCGAUUAUAUCAACCCCAGUGCGUAACUGGUACCUAAUGUAUCGACCCCAAAAGGAUGAAAGGUAAAGUCAACCUCGGCGGAAUUUGAACUCAGAACGUAGUGACAGACGAAAUACUGCUAAGCAUUUCGCCCAGCGUGCUAACGUUUCUGUCAGCUCGCCGCCUUAGUUGCUUACAUCGACCCCAGUGUUUCACUGGUAUUUAAUUUAUCAACCUUAAAACGAUGAAAGGCAAAGUCGACCUUGGCACAAUUUGAACUCAGAAUGUAAAGAUAGACAAAAUGCCAGCAAGCAUUUUGUCUGGCGUAGUAUCAGUAAUAACAAUAGUUUCUAGUAUUGGUGCAUUUUAGAAGGUGGGGGAGGUUUUAGUUGAUUAAGCAUUGAUACAGCCCCACCCCAAUACUUGACAGCUAUUUCAUUUUAUUAAUUCUGAGAAGGAUCAAUGACAAAGUUCACCUUGGUGGAAUUUGAACUCAAAACACAAAAUGUCAAAACUGCUGUAAUGAUUAUGAACAGUUAACACAGGUUUUUUCUGAGUGAGAUUAUUAAUAGCCCCUGGUUGCUUAGAGAUUGGAAAAGGUGACUUGGAAGGCUUCCAUGACAGUGGGAAAAUGAUUGAGUUAAGCAAUUUGGGUGAAGAUGGAAAAGAAUGGCACAAUCAAGACAGAAUCAGAAGGGCAUAGUGAUCAGCGGUGUCUAACAGCAUCAAAUGAUCUGGUUGCUAUUGUGAUUUCUGAUUAGACCAGAGACUGCUUAAGAUAAAAGUUAAGCAUAAUGGGAUGUUGAGAUAUUCAUGUCUCUCCCAAGGGCAUGACUGGAGGGAAGUAAGUCAAAAAUAAUUCAAACUGUAUCACAGAAUUACAUAAACUGCUUUUUCGUUGCUCAGCAUUGUAUCAUUUAAUAUUGCUUUUUGAUAUUUUUUUUUAAUCAGACACAAGUUCAUUAUAAUUUUUGGCAAGAGGGAAAUGGCUGAUGUGAUAUAGGUUUUAAUGAGCAUUACUGAGACAUAGCUUCAAUUGGGGAUCAAAGCUUCAAUGUGAUAUCAGCUUGCUUACUAUUGACAUAUCUAUCUACAUUCCUACCUACCUAUUUAUCGAGCUGUCUAUUUUGUUGGGUGACUUGUCUGGACUAAUGCAACUCUUUCACACCAGACAACCCAGUUUUCCAUAACUGUCUUCAUAUCUUCACCCUGACAACCAAUGCAUUUCACAAAUUGAUUGAAAUAUGCUCUUCUUGGUCUGCCGAUACCUGUAUGUCCAUGAAUGGGUUUCCAGAGAAGGAGAUCACCAAAUAUUUCAUCCUUGCUUCUCCAGCAGUGUCCUGUAUCAUGCGUUCUCUUCUCCGAUAACUGAAGCGAAGGUAGGAAGACUGCCAUACAGUUUCUGCUUUGUAGGAUGUUAGCUUGCAAUGAAUCCCCAUCAUCUUUUUCUGUAUCCUGCACCAAAACACUGGGCUUAAUCCUUUUCCUCAGAACCUUGGCUCUCUGUAUUUCAUUCUCAUAAUGCCAAUAUUUUUUCCUACAGCUACAAAUUUAUAAUUACUCAAGAGGCUCCCUGGCUGUUGAACGCAAUAGCACAGCCCCUUUCCUAACCAGUGCUUAAUCCUUGGGAAUUGGGUGUUGCAAUAGCACAGCCCCUUCCUCUGACCAAAUUAAUAACAAAAAUAAAUAAAUGAAUAAAAUUGCUGCAGUCUUUUGUCACCUCAUUCAUGAAGUUCCGUGUCAUGAGAUGAUCAGACCUUAUCACUUAUCCUCCCUCCCACAAAAACUAAAAUCCCUAGAAAUCAAAUACAUCAAUAUCUUCAAAAGUCUAGAAUUAACUACAGAAGAUACAGGUACUGCCCCUCUUUCCUAACUAGUGAUUAAAUCCUUGGGAAUUGGGUGUUGCACUCAUGAUCUCAAGAUUGUGGUUUCCAGGACUGGGUGAUGUUCAUUUCAUUUCAUUUCAUUUGAGUUUGAGUCCAUGCUCAGGCCAAGUCGAAGACUCCACCCUCAGAGUCUGGUGUGGUUGCCAGGUUGUAUUCUCUGUUUAAUUUUGACAUGUGUAGGAGCGAGUUUGAGUCAGUUUGUGCUCGUUGUGUAUAUCCUGGGAGAUGGGGUUCAUCUCUAAUGGUGCUUAAGUAUCUAUCCAGCUGCAAUUUGAAUGAUUCCACACUGCAUCCUGAUGUGUUGUGUUCUUGAGCCAAACAUUCCUUAACAUUGGUCCAGUAUACUCAGCUGGCAAAAAUGAGCAAUCCUGCAUCCAAAGGUGAAAUAUAUUUCCCACAGAAUCCUGGAAACUGGUCUUAUGAACCUAUGACACAGGAAGGCCCUUUGAUCCUCUUUUUUAAUGUGUACUGAUCCAACCUGACAAGCUGCCUAGUUUAAGAACACCACCUAGUCCCUGAAUGGAUUUAGCUAGCAGAGAUCAUUAACUUGUAAAUUAGUCAUGGGAAACUUGUGGUCCAUGGGACAUUCGGAAUGGCACACCAAACAGAAAAUUACUUUGAACUUUUUAAUAGUGUGACCCAUGUGAUAAUGAGCCAUGUCUCAUGUGGCCCUCUUCACAAAAAAGGGUCCCCUGUUCCUGUUGUAAAUUCAGACAACCUAUCUCUUAAUAUUUUUUUUUAUUUCCUGAGGACACUAAACCUGGUGGGUUUGCAAAGGUCAAUAAAACUGUGCCCUUCACCCCGGAAUAAGGCAGAUAAAAAAGGAACAUAGCAAGGGAUCAAACAUAGAAGGGGACAUGGGGAUUUCUUUGAAUUUGUUAACUGGACAGGAGAGUAUAUAAUAGCAAAGUGAAUAACAUCAACCAGUCAACAAGGUUUUAAGUGAAAUCUUAAAAACUCCAGGUUCAAAUCUGAGACACUACUGGUCAAAAACUCUCAAAGGACAAAUAAAUAGGACUUUGACUAUCCUGCUAGCGUGUGUGUUAUUCUACAACAAUAUACACGUGCAUGUGUAUAUAUGUAUAUAUACACAUACACGUAUAUAUAUUAUAUAUUUACAACACAAACUGACCCCUGAAGUCCCUUUAGCAUUAUUUAAACAAUAUAGAAUUUUUUUAUUUCCUUACAAUUUUUAGAACUAUCAUUACCAUUUUGUAACUAUAUAUAUAUAUAUAUAUAUAUAUAUAUAUAUAUAAAAUAAGCAAAAGAGAUUAAUAAAUCCAGGUGGAUAUCUAGAAAGCUCCCAGCAGUGGUGGCUCAGAGAUAAAAUUAGUGGGGGUGCUGCUCUUCAGAAAAUUUGUAGCCGUUGUUUUAAUAUUGUGUAAAAGGAAACAAACGUAUAAAAAGGAAAUUUAUACAUAAACUUGAUCAGUUUGCAUUUUAGCCACUGUCAGAUAGUGUGUUUAAUUUGUUCACUAAAUUCCCUCCUUGUUCUUUUAAAAAAUCCGCCCCCUAAAUCACAAAAUAAGGUGGGAGAAUCUGCCUUAUUUUUCAAAUUCUGGCAGCGACACUGAAGCUGGAAGCAGGAUAAUAAUCUAAUUCUAUACUUUAUCACAUUCAAGAAUAUAAACACAUUUUUAAGCACAACACACGCAGAGUCAAAACGAAACACUACCUUUCACCAGCACUGCAUGAACCAUGACGCUCUCUCUCCCUAGCGUGAAGCUUCCUAUCUCGGACAUGUAAGCAUGCACAUAACAGCCAAACACCACGUCACUGGAACUGUGAAGUGCACAGUUUCAUACAAGGACUUUGGGAUUCUUUUCAUAAACUAAGGGAUGGCUACUGACAUUGAGCUUAAGGAUUAUAUAAUGUACGAGAAUAAAGAAAGAAUUAAAGAUAAAAGGACUCAUUAUAUUGAAUGUUAUCUAUAAUAUCGCGUAGAAAUAAAGGGGUGUUGCAGUUCCACAUUCCCUAUACACGAGCCACCACUGGCUCUCAGUGUUAACCAAAUUUGGUAAACUAUAUUAAACAAUCAGAUACCAAUAAAUUCAAGUAGAAUUAACAUAUAUUUUUGGAUAUAUUAAUCUGACUGGCAUUUUAUACCUUCUGUUCUGUAUUUAAAUCUGUUGGCACAAGAGAAACAAUCAUAGGUAAGUAUGGUGCAACCGUUAAUUAAAGAUGUGAUUGCUUGCAUUCUUGUUAUUCAUUCAUUCAUUUAGUCAUACAUACAUACAUACAUACAUAUAUAUAUACAUACAGUAACUAAGAGCACCUGUGUUUGAAAAGGUUAAUCGAAAGUACUCACACAAUAGGAAAAUAAUCUUCUUCCAAAACAGGUUAGUAACAUCCUGAUAAAAGACUUCAUAACUUAAUAAAAAAAUCCCCUUUAUACUUAAAAACUAUAUAUCUUUAUAUAUAAAAGUCAAGUUGUGUGUCUGUCUCCUACGAUUUAGAUUCCUAACUACUCCCACAUUUUGCAGUGCAGUUUAACCAAAACCGGGUAUUUUAUAGUCGUGAUUCAUAUCGAGCCCUUCUGGGUAUUAGUGCGCAUCUACAAUGAGUCUACGAUUUAAAAAAAAAUUUAUCAUCAUUUUUCCCCAUUUUUAAUGCAUUUUUUACUAUUUUUUGGCUAUAACUCUCUAAAAAUGCUUUAUAGUUAUUUCCCUUACAAACCCGAGCAACACCAGGCGAUACUGCUAGUAUAAAUAUAUAUGGUGAACGAAGGCUUUGUAAAGGGGUGGGUGGGAUAAAGAAAGGGAGAAAGAAGGCAUUAACCCUUUAGCAUUUAAACAGACCACAUCUGGAUAAAAUAUUCUACCUGUUUUAUGUUCAAACUGGCCAGAUCUAGCCUCUCACACUUACCAUGAAAUGUCAUUCUAAAAAUAUGCAAUCACAUGAUCUGAAUCCCAAAGCUAUGAGAUAAAUACAUGGUUAAUUCAAAACAAUCAAUAAAUAAGCAUUACAUUUGACAGGAUAAUGUGAAUACUAAAAGGUUAAAGCAGCUGAACUGAUUAUGGUCAUUAACCAUCUUACAUUAGUACUACAAGCAGACUUGAACCAUCUGCAUGUGUGUGUCCAAAACAUAUAUUCAGUUAAACUUCCCUGAAAUCACACACUACCAUUAAAAUAGACGUCCCACCUAAAAAAAAAUCCAUGACAAGUUAAAUAAUGUAAUUCUAAUAAUACUAUUUGAACAAAAAAAAAAAAGACAUAGUAAUGAUAGAUGUAAUAGCUUUGAUCAUUGGUCUGUUAAAUGAGGACCAAGUAGGUUCUAUAUGACGACAUCUGUCCUUGAGCAAUUAAAUCUGUCCCCGUCCAAAACGUCGAAAAUUUAGCUCCCUUUAUGAUACACAUUGGUCUAACUGAUUGAUGCCCUACACUCUACAGGUUUGGCUGAAGCAAGGCUUGACUAUUAGCAACACCAACAACUAGCCUUGUUUCUAAAUAAAAGACAACAACAACAACAAAAACUGACUUCAUUUUUACAUUAGAAACACACACACACACACAUGUAUGUGCGCAUACAUAUAUAUGUAUAUAUGUGUAUAUAUAUAUAUAUAUAUAUAUAUAUGUAUAUGGCUUUAUGUAAAGUAGCAAUAGUAAAGCAUUGUUAUUUGUAGGUGUUGAACACAUCAAGUGUCAUGAUUUGAUGUUUGUAUGUUUAUAGGUUUGUUUUUGUUUUGAUAAUUUCAAAAGGAAUUGAUUGGUCUUUAGUCUUUGGUAUGGAGUUCUUCUCAACCAGCACUUACAAAAAUUCCAAAGAUAUAUAUACAUACAUACACAUACAUACGUAUAUAUAUAUGUAUAUAUAUACAUAUGUACACACACAUGUAUGUAUAUAUAUAUACACACUCACA
Molecule: long non-coding RNA, 9561 nt
Filed under: Octopus vulgaris (common octopus)
Lineage: Eukaryota; Metazoa; Mollusca; Cephalopoda; Octopoda; Octopodidae
Source: RNAcentral